CGAAGCGGAUCUCUUAAAGCUGUUCUCAGUUCGGACUGCAGUCUGCAACUCGACUGCACGGAGCUGGAAUCGCUAGUAAUCGCGGAUCAGCACGCCGCGGUGAAUACGUUCCCGGGCCUUGUACACACCGCCCGUCACACCAUGGAAGUCUGCAAUGCCCGAAGCCGGUGGCCUAACCACUUAUGUGGAAGGAGCCGUCUAAGGCAGGGCAGAUGACUGGGGUGAAGUCGUAACAAGGUACC
RNAcentral lists this ribosomal RNA (242 nucleotides) under uncultured bacterium. Its description in RNAcentral is "partial 16S ribosomal RNA". It matches the Rfam family "Bacterial small subunit ribosomal RNA", at positions 1263 to 1500 of the family's 1533-position model. The record is from RNAcentral.